This 333-nucleotide long non-coding RNA is filed under the name Rattus norvegicus (Norway rat). Its description in RNAcentral is "long non-coding RNA NONRATT014849". Lineage: Eukaryota; Metazoa; Chordata; Mammalia; Rodentia; Muridae. The record is from RNAcentral.
GUUACACAUCUGCACUUGAGAGAAAAAAUACUAGUGGUAAGCAGCAUGAAGAUAUUCAUGGAUGCAAUGAGGCAAACUUCGAUAGGAACCAAUGUGUGGGAAGCCAUCUGAGUGGAUGGUACUUAUAUAGAACAGUUGUGUGGAAGGCCGCUGAAGAACAGAGUACGACCAGAUCAUGAAAGUCCUUCAAAGACAGCAGAACUCGUCACUCUUUGGAACAGCUUGAACCUUAAGAUCACCCUGAUGUUGCUGAUGUACCAGCUUGCUUUGACUAGAUAAGAUGCUUCCAGUACCUUCUGGCAUGGUGUAAAGGCAAUUAAACGACAUUUGUGC